UUGUGUUUGUUUUUCGGAUUAAAACUAUCACAGUGUGUCAACGUUGUUCUGUACUAUUGGGUGUAGUUUUUAAAGUCAUACAAUAUGGCGGCGAUUAUGCGGCAAUGAAAUUGAAUGUUACUUCGAACCCGUUCCUCUACAAAAAAAACGACCUGCAUUAAGUGUUACUGCUUUAACAUUCGUCGAAGCAAAAAUGACAUCAAUGUAUGAGCCAAAAAUGUUAAAUUUAGAUCGAGACAAUCCAGAAAUGAGCUGCCAGGAAGUGAUCGAUUUUUGGACACCGAAGAUUGAAAAGUGCAUAGCUACAAGGCUAGUAUUGUUAACAUCAACUGGAACAAAGCUUAAAUGGCUCCCUGACCUGACUUAAAAAUAGGAUGGCAAUACAUCAAACAAGAAGACUUUAAGUAUUGAGAUGGACCAAGUGAAACCUGAGCCUACCAAAGCUGACAGAUUGCGCUAGAAACACAUUGGAAGAUUCAUUUUCUGGAAAGUAGAAAAGGACUGUUACAUACUGUUAUCACAGCCAUGACAGAAACCAUAUUGAGGAGCUUGUCUGCCUGUAGGAAGAAAUGCGCUACUGGUUGGAGCAGCACUAUUCCCUGGCCAUACACCAGCACUUUGUUUGUCAUAGAGAGCAUUUCUGAGCAGUUAUGGAGACCACUAACUAUGCAGGUGUCACAGUGAAAUUUGCACCAGUUUGUUUUCUGUGGAGACAAAGAGAUAGUGUCCAGCAAUGAAAACCCAACUCAAGAUCUAACCUUGUUAUGCCAAUUUAAAAUAACUGUGUGGGAAAAUGGGAAGAACCUGCAGUCAGGAAUGCACGUAAAUCAUCAAAAGAACAGUGUGAAAUUAAUCAUGAAUAACUUGACAUUUAUUUUGUUUGACAUAUUUAUUCAUGGUGCAGUGAAAACAUGCUUAUUUUCUCAUGGUUAUUUUAAUUUAGAAUUGAUAGGAGGGAAUAUCACUAUGUAGUUUCGGGUUCAUCAUCAGACCAAAACCCUUGUACAUGCCCAAAUUAGUAUUCAAAAUUAUCAAAAUGGUACUUGUUGUAUGCAAUGUAAGUUAAUUAAAAUAAUAAACAAAAAUAUUAAA
Mya arenaria is the source of this 1092-nucleotide long non-coding RNA. RefSeq lists it as uncharacterized. Lineage: Eukaryota; Metazoa; Mollusca; Bivalvia; Myida; Myidae. The record is from RefSeq and is a predicted model, not a curated record. The transcript has 4 exons.